UGGGGAAUAUUGCACAAUGGGCGCAAGCCUGAUGCAGCCAUGCCGCGUGUGUGAAGAAGGCCUUCGGGUUGUAAAGCACUUUCAGCGGGGAGGAAGGCGGUGAGGUUAAUAACCUCACCGAUUGACGUUACCCGCAGAAGAAGCACCGGCUAACUCCGUGCCAGCAGCCGCGGUAAUACGGAGGGUGCAAGCGUUAAUCGGAAUUACUGGGCGUAAAGCGCACGCAGGCGGUCUGUCAAGUCGGAUGUGAAAUCCCCGGGCUCAACCUGGGAACUGCAUUCGAAACUGGCAGGCUAGAGUCUUGUAGAGGGGGGUAGAAUUCCAGGUGUAGCGGUGAAAUGCGUAGAGAUCUGGAGGAAUACCGGUGGCGAAGGCGGCCCCCUGGACAAAGACUGACGCUCAGGUGCGAAAGCGUGGUGAGCAAACAGG
RNAcentral lists this ribosomal RNA (429 nucleotides) under Chloroflexota bacterium. RNAcentral's name for it is "Chloroflexi bacterium partial 16S ribosomal RNA". It matches the Rfam family "Bacterial small subunit ribosomal RNA", at positions 355 to 776 of the family's 1533-position model. The record is from RNAcentral. Lineage: Bacteria; Bacillati; Chloroflexota.